UGGCGGGGGAGCACCACAAGGGGUGAAGCCUGCGGUUCAAUUGGAGUCAACGCCAGAAAUCUUACCCGGAGAGACAGCAGAAUGAAGGUCAAGCUGAAGACUUUACCAGACAAGCUGAGAGGUGGUGCAUGGCCGUCGCCAGCUCGUGCCGUGAGAUGUCCUGUUAAGUCAGGUAACGAGCGAGAUCCCUGCCGCUAGUUGCUAUCAUUAUUCUCAGGAAUAGUGGAGCGAAUUAGUGGGACUGCCGUUGUUAAAACGGAGGAAGGAAGGGGCUACGGCAGGUCAGUAUGCCCCGAAACUCUGGGGCCACACGCGGGCUGCAAUGGUAGUGACAAUGAGUUCCAAACUCGAAAGAGAGUGGCAAUCUCUAAACGCUACCACAGUUAUGACUGAGGGCUGUAACUCGCCCUCACGAAUAUGGAAUCCCUAGUAACCGCGUGUCAUUACCGCGCGGUGAAUACGUCCCUGCUCCUUGCACACACCGCCAAAGGGCGAAUUCGUUUA
RNAcentral lists this ribosomal RNA (504 nucleotides) under uncultured archaeon. RNAcentral describes it as "bacterial SSU rRNA". It matches the Rfam family "Archaeal small subunit ribosomal RNA", at positions 866 to 1368 of the family's 1478-position model. The record is from RNAcentral.